This 790-nucleotide ribosomal RNA is filed under the name Psychrobacter sp. RNAcentral's name for it is "bacterial SSU rRNA". It matches the Rfam family "Bacterial small subunit ribosomal RNA", at positions 100 to 888 of the family's 1533-position model. The record is from RNAcentral. Lineage: Bacteria; Pseudomonadati; Pseudomonadota; Gammaproteobacteria; Moraxellales; Moraxellaceae.
GGACGGGUGAGUAACACUUAGGAAUCUACCUAGUAGUGGGGGAUAGCUCGGGGAAACUCGAAUUAAUACCGCAUACGACCUACGGGAGAAAGGGGGCAGUUUACUGCUCUCGCUAUUAGAUGAGCCUAAGUCGGAUUAGCUAGAUGGUGGGGUAAAGGCCUACCAUGGCGACGAUCUGUAGCUGGUCUGAGAGGAUGAUCAGCCACACCGGGACUGAGACACGGCCCGGACUCCUACGGGAGGCAGCAGUGGGGAAUAUUGGACAAUGGGGGGAACCCUGAUCCAGCCAUGCCGCGUGUGUGAAGAAGGCCUUUUGGUUGUAAAGCACUUUAAGCAGUGAAGAAGACCUAACGGUUAAUACCCGUUAGCGAUGACAUUAGCUGCAGAAUAAGCACCGGCUAACUCUGUGCCAGCAGCCGCGGUAAUACAGAGGGUGCAAGCGUUAAUCGGAAUUACUGGGCGUAAAGCGAGCGUAGGUGGCUUGAUAAGUCAGAUGUGAAAUCCCCGGGCUUAACCUGGGAACUGCAUCUGAUACUGUUAAGCUAGAGUAGGUGAGAGGGAAGUAGAAUUCCAGGUGUAGCGGUGAAAUGCGUAGAGAUCUGGAGGAAUACCGAUGGCGAAGGCAGCUUCCUGGCAUCAUACUGACACUGAGGCUCGAAAGCGUGGGUAGCAAACAGGAUUAGAUACCCUGGUAGUCCACGCCGUAAACGAUGUCUUCUAGUCGUUGGGUCCCUUGAGGACUUAGUGACGCAGCUAACGCAAUAAGUAGACCGCCUGGGGAGAGCGGCGC